RNAcentral lists this ribosomal RNA (379 nucleotides) under uncultured bacterium. RNAcentral describes it as "bacterial SSU rRNA". It matches the Rfam family "Bacterial small subunit ribosomal RNA", at positions 28 to 410 of the family's 1533-position model. The record is from RNAcentral.
GACGAACGCUGGCGGCGUGCUUAACACAUGCAAGUCGAGCGGUAAGGCCCUUUCGGGGGUACACGAGCGGCGAACGGGUGAGUAACACGUGGGUGACCUGCCCUCAGCUCUGGGAUAAGCCUGGGAAACCGGGUCUAAUACUGGAUAUGACUCCAUGACGCAUGUUGUGGGGUGGAAAGCCUUGUGCGGCUGAGGAUGGGCCCGCGGCCUAUCAGCUUGUUGGUGGGGUGAGGCCUACCAAGGCGACGACGGGUAGCCGGCCUGAGAGGGUGUUCGGCCACACUGGGACUGAGACACGGCCCAGACUCCUACGGGAGGCAGCAGUGGGGAAUAUUGCGCAAUGGGCGGAAGCCUGACGCAGCGACGCCGCGUGGGGAUG